This 75-nucleotide transfer RNA is filed under the name Ulva mutabilis. RNAcentral describes it as "tRNA-Thr". It matches the Rfam family "tRNA". Rfam says of the family: Transfer RNA (tRNA) molecules are approximately 80 nucleotides in length. Their secondary structure includes four short double-helical elements and three loops (D, anti-codon, and T loops). Further hydrogen bonds mediate the characteristic L-shaped molecular structure. tRNAs have two regions of fundamental functional importance: the anti-codon, which is responsible for specific mRNA codon recognition, and the 3' end, to which the tRNAs corresponding amino acid is attached (by aminoacyl-tRNA synthetases). tRNAs cope with the degeneracy of the genetic code in two manners: having more than one tRNA (with a specific anti-codon) for a particular amino acid; and 'wobble' base-pairing, i.e. permitting non-standard base-pairing at the 3rd anti-codon position. The record is from RNAcentral. RNAcentral also lists the same sequence under 1 other name. Lineage: Eukaryota; Viridiplantae; Chlorophyta; Ulvophyceae; Ulvales; Ulvaceae.
AGCCUUCUUAACUCAAUUGGUAGAGUAUCGGUCUUGUAAACCGAAAGUUAGCGGUUCGACUCCGCUAGAAGGCUA